AUCCAACUGACGAGUCCCAAAUAGGACGAAGUGGCGUGCAUCCUGGAU
Non-coding RNA from Schistosoma margrebowiei, 48 nucleotides. NCBI's taxonomy places the organism in Eukaryota, Metazoa, Platyhelminthes, Trematoda, Strigeidida, Schistosomatidae. The record is from Rfam.